GAGUUUGAUCCUGGCUCAGAUUGAACGCUGGCGGCAGGCCUAACACAUGCAAGUCGAACGGUAACAGGAAGAAGCUUGCUUCUUUGCUGACGAGUGGCGGACGGGUGAGUAAUGUCUGGGAAACUGCCUGAUGGAGGGGGAUAACUACUGGAAACGGUAGCUAAUACCGCAUAACGUCGCAAGACCAAAGAGGGGGACCUUCGGGCCUCUUGCCAUCGGAUGUGCCCAGAUGGGAUUAGCUAGUAGGUGGGGUAACGGCUCGCCUAGGCGACGAUCCCUAGCUGGUCUGAGAGGAUGACCAGCCACACUGGAACUGAGACACGGUCCAGACUCCUACGGGAGGCAGCAGUGGGGAAUAUUGCACAAUGGGCGCAAGCCUGAUGCAGCCAUGCCGCGUGUAUGAAGAAGGCCUUCGGGUUGUAAAGUACUUUCAGCGGGGAGGAAGGGAGUAAAGUUAAUACCUUUGCUCAUUGACGUUACCCGCAGAAGAAGCA
Molecule: ribosomal RNA, 494 nt
Filed under: uncultured bacterium
Lineage: Bacteria
Description: bacterial SSU rRNA
Rfam family: Bacterial small subunit ribosomal RNA
Source: RNAcentral